Molecule: long non-coding RNA, 389 nt
Organism: Danio aesculapii
Lineage: Eukaryota; Metazoa; Chordata; Actinopteri; Cypriniformes; Danionidae
Exons: 4
Source: RefSeq, a predicted model, not a curated record
CUUUUAUUGUAUCAGUUGUGUGAGGUGACUCUAAGGCUGGGAACAAUGUUUGCACGUGGCGUCAUUGUCCUUCUCUGUGUGCUGGUGGCCAUAUCUGAUGGAGCAAAGGUGCCAAAAUGUGGUUACCCAGUUGGAGCAUGCCCAAUGAACUAUUCACCUGUGUGUGGAACCAAUGGUGUAACAUACAGCAAUGAAUGCUUGCUAUGUGCUGCAAUGCAGACAUCGAAAAUAAGGAUCUUAAUCCAGAAGCAAGGCGAAUGUUAAAUAAACAUCUGCAAGAAUGACAUGAUAAUUCAGCUUGGCACACCUUUUGUCAAGCUUUAUUGUACUCAUUCAUCAUGGCCUGAUUUUGUAAUGGUUUAAUCCAAAAAUAAAUGUUGCAUAUUGAA